This 472-nucleotide long non-coding RNA is filed under the name Ananas comosus (pineapple). Its description in RNAcentral is "long non-coding RNA (ACOM_LNC012682)". Lineage: Eukaryota; Viridiplantae; Streptophyta; Magnoliopsida; Poales; Bromeliaceae. The record is from RNAcentral.
AAUUAUGCUACAACCAUAACCAUCUAUAAAUUCAAAUUUAAUAUUUGAUUUGAUAUAUUUGAAUCCAACUGUUACAGUUGGAACUAUAUGAAGAGGCCCAACCACAAUACUUAGAAGUACGUCCCAAUUGGCUGCUGCAACAACUACAACAGUUGCAGAAUGUAACUUUUAGCAAAAGAUAAGUUUAUUUUUCUAACCACUUUUUAAACAGAAAAAUAUUUUUCUUUUCUACAUUAGAGAUAAUUUCAUCGCCACAUAUAAAAAAUAAUAAAAGUUUAAAAGACCGCUUCUCAACUGCAUGCAACCAAGUAAUUUAUUUCUAGCUGCAGUAUUGUUUACUACUCUACAUCAAAUCAAAUAAGAUGCGUAUAGUUAUAAAUAUUGCAUUUCAUCUGUAUAUAUGCAACUCCAAUUAUACUACAUUUCCAAUAUUACUUAAGAAAAAAAACAACUAAGUUACAUAUUUAUACUA